Ceratotherium simum simum (southern white rhinoceros) is the source of this 126-nucleotide non-coding RNA. Lineage: Eukaryota; Metazoa; Chordata; Mammalia; Perissodactyla; Rhinocerotidae. The record is from RefSeq and is a predicted model, not a curated record.
GACAUUUAUUUCCCACACUUCUGCAGGCUCGGAGUCUGAGAUUAGGGUGCCAGCAAGGUUGGGUUCUUGUGAGAGACCCUUUCCUGGCUUGCAGAUGGCUGCCUUCUCACUGUACCAAGACUGGGC